CAAUAGCGUAUAUUAAAGUUGUUGCGGUAAAAAAGCUCGUAGUUGGAUUUCUACCGAAGAUAGCCGGUCGGGUCUUCGACCUUGUAUCUGGUUUUGUCUUUGGUAUCCUCAUAGGGAAUGUUUCUGCGCUUUAUUGCGUGGUGCGGUAUCUAUGACUUUUACUUUGAGGAAAUUAGAGUGUUCACGGCAGGCAAACGCCUUGAAUAUAUUAGCAUGGAAUAAUAACAUAGGAUCUUCGUCCUAUUUUGUUGGUUUCUAGGGCUAAGAUAAUGAUUAAUAGGGAUAAUUGGGGGCAUCUGUAUCAACGCGUCAGAGGUGGAAUUCUUGGAUUGCGUUGCGACAAACUACUGCGAAAGCAUUUGCCAAGGAUGUUUUCAUUGA
Molecule: ribosomal RNA, 381 nt
Filed under: uncultured eukaryote
Lineage: Eukaryota
Description: partial 18S ribosomal RNA
Rfam family: Eukaryotic small subunit ribosomal RNA
Source: RNAcentral